RNAcentral lists this ribosomal RNA (253 nucleotides) under uncultured bacterium. Its description in RNAcentral is "partial 16S ribosomal RNA". It matches the Rfam family "Bacterial small subunit ribosomal RNA", at positions 524 to 776 of the family's 1533-position model. The record is from RNAcentral.
GACAGAGGUUGCAAACGUUGUUCGGAAUCACUGGGCUUAAAGGGCGCGUAGGCGGGCGACCAAGUCAGGGGUGAAAUCCUCCGGCUCAACCGGAGAACAGCCUUUGAUACUGGUCACCUCGAGGGAGGUAGGGGCAUGUGGAACUUCCGGUGGAGCGGUGAAAUGCGUAGAUAUCGGAAGGAACGCCGGUGGCGAAAGCGACGUGCUGGACCUCUUCUGACGCUGAGGCGCGAAAGCUAGGGGAGCAAACGGG